RNAcentral lists this long non-coding RNA (330 nucleotides) under Gossypium raimondii (Peruvian cotton). Its description in RNAcentral is "long non-coding RNA (GRAI_LNC010633)". The record is from RNAcentral. Lineage: Eukaryota; Viridiplantae; Streptophyta; Magnoliopsida; Malvales; Malvaceae.
CCGUGGAGGUGUUUGAGUGGAGGCAGAAUUCUGAAGAGAGUGGGAUGAGUGUAGACAGUUUGGAGUGUUUGAGGGGUAUGGGGAAGUGUGGGAGUGAAUUUAGGGAUAGAAUGACUUAAUUGAGGGAUUUAGGGGGAAGUGGGGAUUGAGUAGAAUCCUAUGCUUUCAAAAAAUUUCUAUUUUUCAGAAAAAAGGUGAGCAAACGUCCCCCUCCUCUUCUUGGCCGAAUCUUCCCCUCUCAAUCUUUUUUUUUCCUUUUUUUCUUCUUUUUCACCUUUUUUUUGUCAAUCAAAAAUCCUCCACUUGCUGCCAUUGUUUUCAAAAUUCGUU